This 253-nucleotide ribosomal RNA is filed under the name uncultured bacterium. Its description in RNAcentral is "partial 16S ribosomal RNA". It matches the Rfam family "Bacterial small subunit ribosomal RNA", at positions 524 to 776 of the family's 1533-position model. The record is from RNAcentral.
UACGUAGGGCGCGAGCGUUGUCCGGAAUUAUUGGGCGUAAAGAGCUCGUAGGCGGCUGGUUGCGUCUGCUGUGAAAUCCCGGGGCUUAACCCCGGGCGUGCAGUGGAUACGGGCCGGCUGGAGGCAGGCAGGGGAGAAUGGAAUUCCCGGUGUAGCGGUGAAAUGCGCAGAUAUCGGGAGGAACACCGGUGGCGAAGGCGGCUCUCUGGACCGUAACUGACGCUGAGGCGCGAAAGCAUGGGGAGCGAACAGG